Molecule: long non-coding RNA, 387 nt
Organism: Gambusia affinis (western mosquitofish)
Lineage: Eukaryota; Metazoa; Chordata; Actinopteri; Cyprinodontiformes; Poeciliidae
Exons: 4
Source: RefSeq, a predicted model, not a curated record
GAAAAGUUAAUAGCCAAUAGAAUAAGUGGCUUUAGCUAAUUUCAGCCAAUCACCUUGAUUGUCCCGCCCUUAUUUGAAUUUUCCCUGAACCAGCUAGUUAGGUUGAUGAGACCCGCUUGCUAACCUCUGCUUGAGGUAAACCUUGUGUGAAGACUGGGUGAGACAGCCGAGCAGAGGACUGACGAUAGUUUCCCUUCCUGUUUUUACUGAACUGUGUUUGAAGAAACGCUGAAAUGGAAACCAACCUGGGUUCCAAACUAGCAUAAAAAAACAACCAAACUCCAACUGAAAGGCAGAACCAGGUACUUCUGGGUUUUAGAAACGACCCGUCUGAUGGUUGCUCAGCAUCUGCAUCUCUUCUGCUCAGACAAGUGAAGAUCUACCUGG